UACAGAGGGGGCAAGCGUUGUUCGGAAUUACUGGGCGUAAAGGGCGCGUAGGCGGCCUUCUAAGUCGAACGUGAAAUCCCCGGGCUCAACCCGGGAACUGCGUCCGAUACUGGAAGGCUUGAAUUCGGGAGAGGGAUGCGGAAUUCCAGGUGUAGCGGUGAAAUGCGUAGAUAUCUGGAGGAACACCGGUGGCGAAGGCGGCAUCCUGGACCGGCAUUGACGCUGAGGCGCGAAAGCCAGGGGAGCAACGGG
RNAcentral lists this ribosomal RNA (252 nucleotides) under uncultured bacterium. RNAcentral describes it as "partial 16S ribosomal RNA". It matches the Rfam family "Bacterial small subunit ribosomal RNA", at positions 524 to 775 of the family's 1533-position model. The record is from RNAcentral.